AACGAACGCUGGCGGCGCGCCUAAUACAUGCAAGUCGAGCGAGAAGACGUAGCAGUACGUUUGUAAAGCGGCGAACGGGUGAGGAAUACAUGGGUAACCUACCCUCGAGUGGGGAAUAACUAGCCGAAAGGUUAGCUAAUACCGCGUACGCUCCUUGGACUUCGGUUCAGGGAGGAAAGCGAUACCGUGGGUAUCGCGCUCUUGGAUGGGCUCAUGUCCUAUCAGCUUGUUGGUGAGGAACGGCUCACCAAGGCUUCGACGGGUAGCUGGUCUGAGAGGACGAUCAGCCACACUGGCACUGCGACACGGGCCAGACUCCUACGGGAGGCAGCAGUAAGGAAUAUUGCGC
RNAcentral lists this ribosomal RNA (349 nucleotides) under uncultured bacterium. RNAcentral describes it as "bacterial SSU rRNA". It matches the Rfam family "Bacterial small subunit ribosomal RNA", at positions 29 to 369 of the family's 1533-position model. The record is from RNAcentral.